UACGUAGGGUGCGAGCGUUAAUCGGAAUUACUGGGCGUAAAGUGUGCGCAGGCGGCCGCGCAAGUCGAGUGUGAAAGCCCCGGGCUUAACUUGGGAAUUGCGCUCGAAACUACGUGGCUGGAGUGUGGCAGAGGAAGGUGGAAUUCCAGGUGUAGCGGUGAAAUGCGUAGAUAUUGGGAGGAACACCAGUGGCGAAGGCGGCUCACUGGACCGGAACUGACGCUGAGGCGCGAAAGCGUGGGGAGCAAACAGG
This 253-nucleotide ribosomal RNA is filed under the name uncultured bacterium. Its description in RNAcentral is "partial 16S ribosomal RNA". It matches the Rfam family "Bacterial small subunit ribosomal RNA", at positions 524 to 776 of the family's 1533-position model. The record is from RNAcentral.